This is a long non-coding RNA of Mercurialis annua (annual mercury), 412 nucleotides long. RefSeq lists it as uncharacterized. The transcript has 3 exons. Lineage: Eukaryota; Viridiplantae; Streptophyta; Magnoliopsida; Malpighiales; Euphorbiaceae. The record is from RefSeq and is a predicted model, not a curated record.
AUAAUUGAAACUUCAAAUAAAUAUCUAGAUAUUUUCCCUACACAAACUUGGUGCCCAAGUCUUUAAUCUUCUUCUCCAUUUGAGUGUGGGUGCCGAACCAUUCAAGAUCAAAACACAAAAAUUUACUCUUUGUUUUUCUCUCAAAAUUUUGUUAACGAAAAUCGUCGGGGAUAUUGCGUAGAACGUUAAUCUCUAUUUGCAUGUUCGUUUGAGAUCCAGCGAGUUUUGUCGCGGAAACCGGCGAGCAAAGGUUUUGAAUAUUCGACGGGUGAUAUUUUUAUAUUUGGAAUAAGCGAGUACUGCGAGUAGUUUGACGUGUGGAUUUCCAAUUUCUUGUUCCGGAAAUCCCUGGCUUGAAUAAAGUGACAAUGACUUUCCUUUAUGUGUCUAGAGUUGCAGUAGCUAGAAUAAU